Molecule: ribosomal RNA, 273 nt
Filed under: uncultured bacterium
Lineage: Bacteria
Description: partial 16S ribosomal RNA
Rfam family: Bacterial small subunit ribosomal RNA
Source: RNAcentral
ACUCCUACGGGAGGCAGCAGUGGGAGUAUUGCAUCAAUGGGAAACCGGACUGNAGCCAUGCCGCGUGUGUGAAGAAGGCCUUCGGGUUGUAAAGCACUUUCAGUAGGGAGGAAGGUAGUGUAGUUAACACCUGCAUUAUUUGACGUUACCUACAGAAGAAGCACCGGCUAACUCCGUGCCAGCAGCCGCGGUAAUACGGAGGGUGCGAGCGUUAAUCGGAAUUACUGGGCGUAAAGCGCAUGCAGGCGGCCUGUUAAGUCAGAUGUGAAAGCC